AGAGUUUGAUCAUGGCUCAGAUUGAACGCUGGCGGCAGGCCUAACACAUGCAAGUCGAGCGGUAGCACAGAGAGCUUGCUCUCGGGUGACGAGCGGCGGACGGGUGAGUAAUGUCUGGGAAACUGCCUGAUGGAGGGGGAUAACUACUGGAAACGGUAGCUAAUACCGCAUAACGUCGCAAGACCAAAGUGGGGGACCUUCGGGCCUCAUGCCAUCAGAUGUGCCCAGAUGGGAUUAGCUAGUAGGUGGGGUAACGGCUCACCUAGGCGACGAUCCCUAGCUGGUCUGAGAGGAUGACCAGCCACACUGGAACUGAGACACGGUCCAGACUCCUACGGGAGGCAGCAGUGGGGAAUAUUGCACAAUGGGCGCAAGCCUGAUGCAGCCAUGCCGCGUGUGUGAAGAAGGCCUUCGGGUUGUAAAGCACUUUCAGCGGGGAGGAAGGCGGUGAGGUUAAUAACCUCACCGAUUGACGUUACCCGCAGAAGAAGCACCGGCUAACUCCGUGCCAGCAGCCGCGGUAAUACGGAGGGUGCAAGCGUUAAUCGGAAUUACUGGGCGUAAAGCGCACGCAGGCGGUCUGUCAAGUCGGAUGUGAAAUCCCCGGGCUCAACCUGGGAACUGCAUUCGAAACUGGCAGGCUAGAGUCUUGUAGAGGGGGGUAGAAUUCCAGGUGUAGCGGUGAAAUGCGUAGAGAUCUGGAGGAAUACCGGUGGCGAAGGCGGCCCCCUGGACAAAGACUGACGCUCAGGUGCGAAAGCGUGGGGAGCAAACAGGAUUAGAUACCCUGGUAGUCCACGCUGUAAACGAUGUCGAUUUGGAGGUUGUGCCCUUGAGGCGUGGCUUCCGGAGCUAACGCGUUAAAUCGACCGCCUGGGGAGUACGGCCGCAAGGUUAAAACUCAAAUGAAUUGACGGGGGCCCGCACAAGCGGUGGAGCAUGUGGUUUAAUUCGAUGCAACGCGAAGAACCUUACCUGGUCUUGACAUCCACAGAACUUNUUGGUGCCUUCGGGAACUGUGAGACAGGUGCUGCAUGGCUGUCGUCAGCUCGUGUUGUGAAAUGUUGGGUUAAGUCCCGCAACGAGCGCAACCCUUAUCCUUUGUUGCCAGCGGUUAGGCCGGGAACUCAAAGGAGACUGCCAGUGAUAAACUGGAGGAAGGUGGGGAUGACGUCAAGUCAUCAUGGCCCUUACGACCAGGGCUACACACGUGCUACAAUGGCAUAUACAAAGAGAAGCGACCUCGCGAGAGCAAGCGGACCUCAUAAAGUAUGUCGUAGUCCGGAUUGGAGUCUGCAACUCGACUCCAUGAAGUCGGAAUCGCUAGUAAUCGUAGAUCAGAAUGCUACGGUGAAUACGUUCCCGGGCCUUGUACACACCGCCCGUCACACCAUGGGAGUGGGUUGCAAAAGAAGUAGGUAGCUUAACCUUCGGGAGGGCGCUUACCACUUUGUGAUUCAUGACUGGGGUGAAGUCGUAACAAGGUAACCGUAGGGGAACCUGCGGUUGGAUCACCU
RNAcentral lists this ribosomal RNA (1517 nucleotides) under Klebsiella variicola. RNAcentral's name for it is "bacterial SSU rRNA". It matches the Rfam family "Bacterial small subunit ribosomal RNA". Lineage: Bacteria; Pseudomonadati; Pseudomonadota; Gammaproteobacteria; Enterobacterales; Enterobacteriaceae. The record is from RNAcentral.